GUGCCCAGUGAUUAUAAAAAGACGCGUUAUUCUGAGGACCACAACCCGCCGCCAGUCUUUCCUUCUACCUUGUGUUCUUGUCUUUGAUCUCCAUCUGUCUCAUCUCCUCUUCUUCAAACUGGUAGCUGGUCCACUGACUGCGAUUAUGAGAUAUGAGGGCGU
Cyclopterus lumpus (lumpfish) is the source of this 162-nucleotide small nucleolar RNA. Ensembl annotates it as small nucleolar RNA, C/D box 97. Its record names the gene SNORD97. NCBI's taxonomy places the organism in Eukaryota, Metazoa, Chordata, Actinopteri, Perciformes, Cyclopteridae. The record is from Ensembl.